CGUUUAGGGGUAAACCUGAGAAACCCGAAAGGUCGAAGGGAGAAAUUCAUUCGCGUUUUGACGUUGACGWUGAGUASKGUYGUGUGACGRAAUKUGYCUCGGUAYWUUUCGCGCCCUCUACUUUUACGAAUCGAUGACAAACGUGUGCACUUUUCUCCUGGUAGGACGUCGCAAUCCGUUGGGUGUUGGUCUACGACUCAUGGUGGAGCCCGUUUAUCUUGUAUAGGCGGACCCGUGUGUUCUGGCCAACUUGCUCGACGGUAUAAUUGUGGUUCGAGACCGCUUUUCUAAGCGUCUGACUUGUGGCAAGCGCGCCAGAUGUUUGUUGGCGAUCGGACCUAGUGCCGAUUCCGACCUCUGGUGACUGUUGGCCAUAAUGUUCUUGGACAGAUCUCGUAACCGUUUAGCGGCGCUAUAGCUUUGGGUACUUUCAGGACCCGUCUUGAAACACGGACCAAGGAGUCUAGCAUGUGCGCGAGUCAUUGGGAAUUAUUAAACCUAAAGGCGUAAUGAAAGUGAAGGUUUUCCUUGCGUUAACCGAGGGAGGAUAAGUGUCAUUUUUUGAUGCUUCGCACUCCCGGGGCGUCUCAUUCUCAUUACGAGUAGAGGCGCACCAAGAGCGUACACGCUGGGACCCGAAAGAUGGUGAACUAU
This 654-nucleotide ribosomal RNA is filed under the name Dryotomicus oenophilis. Its description in RNAcentral is "eukaryotic LSU rRNA". It matches the Rfam family "Eukaryotic large subunit ribosomal RNA", at positions 406 to 834 of the family's 3401-position model. Lineage: Eukaryota; Metazoa; Arthropoda; Insecta; Coleoptera; Curculionidae. The record is from RNAcentral.